AACGCGAAGAACCUUACCUGGGCUUGAACCGCACAGGACCAUCUUUGGAAACAGAGACUUCCCGCAAGGGACCUGUGUAGAGGUGCUGCAUGGCUGUCGUCAGCUCGUGCCGUGAGGUGUUGGGUUAAGUCCCGCAACGAGCGCAACCCUUAUCAUUAGUUGCCAACACGUAAGGUGGGGACUCUAAUGAGACUGCCUAGGUUAACUAGGAGGAAGGCGAGGAUGACGUCAAGUCCGCAUGGCCUUUAUGUCCAGGGCUACACACGUGCUACAAUGGUCGGUACAGAGGGCUGCAAGACCGUAAGGUGGAGCAAAUCCCAGAAAGCCGAUCUCAGUUCAGAUUGUGGACUGCAACUCGUCCACAUGAAGUCGGAAUUGCUAGUAAUGGCGUGUCAGCAAUAACGCCGUGAAUACGUUCCCGGGCCUUGUACACACCGAGUAUA
This 443-nucleotide ribosomal RNA is filed under the name uncultured bacterium. RNAcentral's name for it is "bacterial SSU rRNA". It matches the Rfam family "Bacterial small subunit ribosomal RNA", at positions 958 to 1398 of the family's 1533-position model. The record is from RNAcentral.